CAGCCGCGGUAAUUCCAGCUCCAAUAGCGUAUAUUAACGUUGUUGCAGUUAAAAAGCUCGUAGUUGAAGUGAGGGAGUGUGUAGUAGGACCGACUUGAUCGGAACUGCUGCAACCUCCCCCCUCCAAUCGGUGUAGUGGGGUAUUCAGUUAUUCUACUACUCCUUUGGUCGUUUACUGUGAGAAAAUUAGAGUGUUCAAAGCGGGCGUUUGUUUGAAUAGAUUAGCAUGGAAUAAUGAUUGAAGGCUUUCGUGUUCGAUUUGAUUGGUUUGUUCAUGGAAGCAAGGUUAAAAGGAACAGUUGGGGGUAUUCAUAUUCACUAGUUAGAGGUGAAAUUCUCGGAUUUAUGGAAGAUGAACAAGUG
Molecule: ribosomal RNA, 363 nt
Filed under: Blastocystis sp.
Lineage: Eukaryota; Bigyra; Opalinata; Blastocystidae
Description: SSU rRNA
Rfam family: Eukaryotic small subunit ribosomal RNA
Source: RNAcentral